This 317-nucleotide ribosomal RNA is filed under the name uncultured eukaryote. Its description in RNAcentral is "partial 18S ribosomal RNA". It matches the Rfam family "Eukaryotic small subunit ribosomal RNA", at positions 1470 to 1796 of the family's 1831-position model. The record is from RNAcentral.
CCCCUAGAUGUUCUGGGCCGCACGCGCGCUACACUGAACAGUUCAACAAGUCUUAACCUUGGCCGAUAGGUCUGGGUAAUCUUUGAACGCUGUUCGUGAUUGGGAUAGACCUUUGCAAUUAUGGGUCUUCAACGAGGAAUUCCUAGUAAACGCAAGUCAUCAGCUUGCAUUGAUUACGUCCCUGCCCUUUGUACACACCGCCCGUCGCACCUACCGAUUGAAUGGUCCGGUGAAUCUUUCGGACUGCGCGCGGCCUCGUGCCGUGUCGCGGAAAGUCAGGUAAACCUUAUCACUUAGAGGAAGGAGAANUCGUANCA